UGCGGAUAGCGGCAGACGGGUGAGUAACGCGUAGGAAUCUACCCUAUAGUGGGGAAUAGCCCCGCGAAAGCGGGGGUAAUACCGCAUAAUCCCGCAAGGGAAAAGGCCUUAACUGGUCGCUAAAGGAGGAGCCUGCGUGCUAUCAGCUAGUUGGUGGGGUAAUGGCCUACCAAGGCAAUGACGGCUAGGGGGCGUGAGAGCGUGGCCCCCCACAAGGUUACUGAGACACGGAGCCUACACCUACGGGUGGCAGCAACCAAGAAUCUUCCGCAAUGGGCGAAAGCCUGACGGAGCGACACCGCGUGUGGGAAGAAGCGCCUCGGCGUGUAAACCACUGUGGCAGGGGAAGAAUUUUGACGGUACCCUGCUAGAAAGAACCUGCUAACUACGUGCCAGAAGCCUCGGUAAUACGUAGGGUUCAAGCGUUAUCCGGAUUUACUGGGCGUAAAGCGUUCGUAGGUGGAGUAGUAAGUGGUGGGUUAAAGACUGGAGCUCAACUCCAGACCAGCUCAUCAUACUGCUAUUCUCGAGUGUGUUCGGGGAGGUUGGAAUUCUCGGUGGAGGGGUGAAAUCCGUUGAUAUCGAGAAGAACGCCAAGGGUGAAGACAGGCCUCUAGGGCACUACUGACACUGAGGGACGAAAGCUAGGGUAGCAAACCGGAUUAGAGACCCGAGUAGUCCUAGCCGUAAACGAUGGAU
Molecule: ribosomal RNA, 699 nt
Filed under: uncultured organism
Description: bacterial SSU rRNA
Rfam family: Bacterial small subunit ribosomal RNA
Source: RNAcentral